UGCAAUGCAACCGAUGUGACCAAAUGACUAUUGCGACAACAAUUAUAUUGCGGUUAUACCAUGAUUUAGAAACAUGUUAUGUAUUAGUAUUAAAAUGUUACAUAUGAAAGACAUGUAUAAAAAUGGAAAGUCACUUACCCUUCCAAGAUUUAACUAUUGGAGUUGGUGGUGUAGUUGGAGCAACAGGAGUUGGUGGUUUCACAAUUGGUGGUGAUUGAUAAGGUGGUGAUUUCACUAGAGGUGGAGGGGUUGGUGGUUUCACAAUAGGUGGUGAUUGAUACGGUGGUGUUUUCACUAGAGGAGGAGAAGGUGGCUUCACAAUAGGUGGUGAUUGAUAUGGUGGUGGAGUUUUCACUAGAGGUGGAGAAGGUGGCUUCACAAUAGGUGGUGAUUGAUAAGGUGGAGUUUUAACUAGGGGUGGAGAAGGUUGCUUCACAAUAGGUGGUGAUUGAUAUGGUGGUGUUUUCACCAAUGGAGGAGAAGUAGGUGCCUUCACCAGCGAUGGAGGAGUUGGCGGUGCCUUUACCGGAAAAGGAGGUG
RNAcentral lists this long non-coding RNA (540 nucleotides) under Trifolium pratense (red clover). RNAcentral's name for it is "long non-coding RNA (TPRA_LNC000546)". The record is from RNAcentral. Lineage: Eukaryota; Viridiplantae; Streptophyta; Magnoliopsida; Fabales; Fabaceae.